Molecule: ribosomal RNA, 407 nt
Filed under: soil fungal sp. DM2-148
Lineage: Eukaryota; Fungi
Description: eukaryotic LSU rRNA
Rfam family: Eukaryotic large subunit ribosomal RNA
Source: RNAcentral
AAGAGCUCAAAUUUGAAAGCUGGCUCCUUCGGGGUCCGCAUUGUAAUUUGCAGAGGAUGCUUCGGGAGCGGCCCCCAUCUAAGUGCCCUGGAACGGGCCGUCCUAGAGGGUGAGAAUCCCGUCUGGGAUGGGGUGCCCGCGCCCGUGUGAAGCUCCUUCGACGAGNCGAGUUGUUUGGGAAUGCAGCUCUGAAUGGGUGGUAAAUUUCAUCUAAAGUUAAAUACUGGUCGGAGACCGAUAGCGCACAAGUAGAGUGAUCGAAAGAUGAAAAGCACUUUGAAAAGAGAGUUAAACAGCACGUGAAAUUGUUGAAAGGGAAGCGCUUGCGACCAGACUCGCCCGCAGGGUUCAGCCGGCAUUCGUGCCGGUGUACUUCCCCGCGGGAGGGCCAGCGUCGGUUUGGGCGG